Molecule: ribosomal RNA, 301 nt
Filed under: uncultured bacterium
Lineage: Bacteria
Description: partial 16S ribosomal RNA
Rfam family: Bacterial small subunit ribosomal RNA
Source: RNAcentral
CAGUCGCCGCGGUAAGACAGAGGAUGCAAGCGUUAUCCGGAAUGAUUGGGCGUAAAGCGUCUGUAGGUGGCUUUUCAAGUCCGCCGUCAAAUCCCCGGGCUCAACCGGGGAGGGUCAUUGGAAACUGGGAAACUUGAGUGCAGAAGAGGAGAGUGGAAUUCCACGUGUAGCGGUGAAAUGCGUAGAGAUGUGGAGGAACACCAGUGGCGAAGGCGACUCUCUGGUCUGUAACUGACGCUGAGGAGCGAAAGCGUGGGGAGCGAACAGGAUUAGAUACCCCUGUAGUCCCUGUCUUUUAUAC